GACACCGUGGCCGAGCGGUUAAGGCGAUUGACUAGAAAUCAAUUGGGUUUAUCCCGCGUAGGUUCGAGUCCUGCCGGUGUCG
RNAcentral lists this transfer RNA (82 nucleotides) under Fragilariopsis cylindrus CCMP1102. It matches the Rfam family "tRNA". From Rfam's summary of the family: Transfer RNA (tRNA) molecules are approximately 80 nucleotides in length. The record is from Rfam by way of RNAcentral. Lineage: Eukaryota; Bacillariophyta; Bacillariophyceae; Bacillariales; Bacillariaceae.